Molecule: ribosomal RNA, 465 nt
Filed under: Vreelandella stevensii
Lineage: Bacteria; Pseudomonadati; Pseudomonadota; Gammaproteobacteria; Oceanospirillales; Halomonadaceae
Description: partial 16S ribosomal RNA
Rfam family: Bacterial small subunit ribosomal RNA
Source: RNAcentral
CCUACGGGAGGCAGCAGUGGGGAAUAUUGGACAAUGGGGGGAACCCUGAUCCAGCCAUGCCGCGUGUGUGAAGAAGGCCCUCGGGUUGUAAAGCACUUUCAGUGAGGAAGAACGCCUGGUGGUUAAUACCCAUCAGGAAAGACAUCACUCACAGAAGAAGCACCGGCUAACUCCGUGCCAGCAGCCGCGGUAAUACGGAGGGUGCGAGCGUUAAUCGGAAUUACUGGGCGUAAAGCGCGCGUAGGUGGCUUGAUAAGCCGGUUGUGAAAGCCCCGGGCUCAACCUGGGAACGGCAUCCGGGACUGUCAAGCUAGAGUGCAGGAGAGGAAGGUAGAAUUCCCGGUGUAGCGGUGAAAUGCGUAGAGAUCGGGAGGAAUACCAGUGGCGAAGGCGGCCUUCUGGACUGACACUGACACUGAGGUGCGAAAGCGUGGGUAGCAAACAGGAUUAGAUACCCCAGUAGUC